GUCGAACGCGAAAGCCCCGCAAGGGGUGAGUAGAGUGGCAAACGGGUGAGUAACACGUGGGUGACCUGCCUUAGAGUGGGGGAUAACGUCCCGAAAGGGACGCUAAUACCGCAUAAUAUCCUGCCUUUGAAGAGGUGGAGAUCAAAGCCGGGGACCGCAAGGCCUGGCGCUCAAAGAGGGGCCCGCGCCUGAUUAGCUAGUUGGUGAGGUAAUGGCUCACCAAGGCAACGAUCAGUAUCCGGCCUGAGAGGGCGGACGGACACACUGGGACUGAGACACGGCCCAGACUCCUACGGGAGGCAGCAGUGGGGAAUUGUUCGCAAUGGGCGCAAGCCUGACGACGCAACGCCGCGUGGAGGAUGAAGACCUUCGGGUCGUAAACUCCUUUCGAUCGAGACGAACAGCCACCGGGUGAACAAUCCGGAGGUUUGACGGUACCGAGAGAAGAAGCCCCGGCUAACUCCGUGCCAGCAGCCGCGGUAAUACGGGGGGGGCAAGCGUUGUUCGGAAUUACUGGGCGUAAAGGGCUCGUAGGUGGCCAACUAAGUCAGACGUGAAAUCCCUCGGCUUAACCGGGGAACUGCGUCUGAUACUGGAUGGCUUGAGUUCGGGAGAGGGAUGCGGAAUUCCAGGUGUAGCGGUGAAAUGCGUAGAUAUCUGGAGGAACACCGGUGGCGAAAGCGGCAUCCUGGACCGACACUGACACUG
RNAcentral lists this ribosomal RNA (708 nucleotides) under uncultured bacterium. Its description in RNAcentral is "bacterial SSU rRNA". It matches the Rfam family "Bacterial small subunit ribosomal RNA", at positions 61 to 748 of the family's 1533-position model. The record is from RNAcentral.